GUUAUACAUAAACCUCACCAGGGGAAAAAUUUACAUUAAAAACACUUAGGGGGGUUUGGAGGUUAAAUUGUUAUAGAAAUGCAUGUUAACUUGCUUACUUUCAAUGUCUUCCACCUACCUUUCUUGAUCUUACAAAAUUAUAAUUAUUUUAUUUGGAUAGGUAUGGUAUAAUGAUGUAUUAUAGAGAAGGGCAGACUUUGAAUCAAGAAAAGCUGGGUUCACAAUAUACCUCAGUCACAUACUAGCUGUGUAACUAUGGGAAUUUAUAUAGAUAUAAUAAUAAAAGCUCCAGUAGAAUUUCUUGAGUCCAGACUACUUAAUCUAUUUAUCUGUAUCCAGAGCCUAGCACCAUGUCUGGGAUGUAGCUUAAAAAUUGCUUGUGGACUGAUGGUAUAAUUAUGGUAUGAUUAUGAGAUGGGAGUAAAUUUAGAAACCCUAUGUUAUUUUUUGUUUGGUCAUUUCCGGUCAUGUCCAACCAUUCAUUAUUCUAAUUGGGGUUUUCUUGGCAAAGGUACUGGAUGGUUAGCCAUUUCCUUCUCUUGUUCAUUUUACACAUGAGAAAACUGAGGCAAAUAGGGUUGAGUGAUUUGUUUAUGAUCACAUAGCUAGUCCAGGCCCAACACUUUACCCACUGAGCUGCUUACCUGCUGUCUAGAAUUCAUUUAAUCCAACCCCAUAGUUUUACAGAUAAGGAAAUUGAGGUCAAGAGAAACCAAAUAAAGUCAGUAGUAUAAGAGAGCUUCAAAUCUAGACUUACUGGCUCCAAAUCUAUUCAUAUUUGUACUAUGUCAUUUGUCUAUGUUUCCAUGUAGCUAUGUAUUUAUUUGUCUGUCUGUCUUUCUGUCUUUCCAUCCAUCAUUCUUUUUCCCCUUCCUUCUAUCUUUCUCUUUCUCUCAAUUUCUUUCUUUCUUUUCCUUCCUUCCUUCAUUCCUCCCUUCCUUCCUGCCUUCCUCCCUUCAUCCCUUCCCUUCCUUAGUUCAUUUGUCAUUUUGUUGUUGCAGUUGUUGUUAUUAUUAUUCUCCUCAUUAAGAGCAUUAGUAAAUCCAUGACCUCAUUAAGGCACAUUUUGUCUCGAAGUAGGGAACAUAAUCUAGGAUAUUCUAUAACAUAUUUAACACAUAUAAGUCUGCUUGCCAUAUCGGGGAGGGGGUGGAGGGAGAGAAGGGAAAAAGCCGAACAGAAGUGAGUGCAAGGGAUAAUGUUGUAAAAAAUUACCUAUGCAUUUGUACUGUCAAUAAAAAAGUUAUAAUUAUUUUUUAAAAAGUAGGGAACAUAGCCUGUUCAUCUCUUCCUUUCCUUUGCAUCUCCUGGCCAUGUUCUCUCAUAAAUUCACAAGUGAUACACCUGACAUGCCAGGUAGCUUCUUAUAGAUUUCUUGACAUUUUAUGUAGACCAGUGGAGCUCAAAUGUUCCACUGUCAGCUACUGAUUAUCUCCCAUUUUUGCUGCAUGAGUGACCUAUCGACCUUCUUUUUCAGUAAUGUUAUUUUCUAAAGCCAUGUUUUGGUUUUUUUUUUUUUUUUUCCCACUCUUACAUCAAUUGUAUGUACCUGCAUGUUUGCUUCUGUAAUUUGGUUCAGAUCUGUAAUUUCAAUGUUGAACUUUGAAGAUUCCUCUCUCUCCAAACUUUCUAUGUGGAAGUAAUGUGCUACAGCUGGUCUAUAAAUUAUAGGUACAGGAUUUAACAGAUACACUGAGAAAUUAAGAGACAACGUUAUGGUCAUAAAGU
Molecule: long non-coding RNA, 1728 nt
Filed under: Sarcophilus harrisii (Tasmanian devil)
Lineage: Eukaryota; Metazoa; Chordata; Mammalia; Dasyuromorphia; Dasyuridae
Description: lncRNA (ENSSHAG00000028917.1)
Source: RNAcentral